Molecule: long non-coding RNA, 1335 nt
Filed under: Nicotiana tabacum (common tobacco)
Lineage: Eukaryota; Viridiplantae; Streptophyta; Magnoliopsida; Solanales; Solanaceae
Description: long non-coding RNA (NTAB_LNC002724)
Source: RNAcentral
ACGGGUGAAAGCGGGGUACGAUGCGGGGCAGGUGGAUGCGAGUUAAAAAAGCUAUGCGAGACAAGGCGAGACGGAUUAAAAUUUUGCGGGUUAAGAUAGAACUCACCCCGUACAUCGCUUGCCAUCCCUUGUACAACUUUACAAUUAUUAGGUACAGAAGUCCAACUGCAGUUUAAUAAAAACAUAACCAUUAUCCAAAGAAGAGAAUGAAAGUGUUUGACUUGACAUAAAGUUUAAAAAGGAAUAAAGACUUUUGAAAUUUGUAGUUACGUAAUAAGCUAUAGAUAUUUGUAUGACUUUAAUUAUGGAUAAUAUCAAAAGUUAAAACUUAAAUUAUUUUUAAAUAAGGAGAUAUGACAUUUUUUUUAGAGCAGCAAAAAAAUGAAAAGUAUGCUACAUAAAUUAAGAAAAAAAUAGUAGCAUUGAUUAAUCAAAAGAAAAGAGAAUUAAUUCAUUCAUGCUAGAGAGAGAGGAGAAACGUGUUCAAAUCUGCUCUUCAACACUGGACAUAUUCCUCAGAUCUGGGAGGAAAUUUAAGGCUGAGAAAUUUGAUAGUAUGUUGGUAACUGCGGUUCCAAAACUGUAACGACAAUCAAACCUUUUUAUAACAAUCUUAUUUGUUUCGAUAUUUUUUGACUGCUAUAAAGAAGUGUUACAUUGUUAUAAAAGACAUAGACUUAUCACAUAAUAUAAAAAUUAGUUCCGAAAAAAACUUAAUUUUUAUAGUGAAUAACUAUUAUACAUAGGGAUGUUGUUAUAGAGAGGUCUGACUGUAUCCAUUUUCAGUUUACAGUGUGUAGAGUCGGAUCUUAAUUUUAAAUUAAAUUCUUACAAAAUCGAUUGCACAUUUGAAACAUGAGUUCAAAGUAAGAAAAAAAAAAUUAUAUUCAGUUGAACUCAUUGAGUAAGGCUCAGAAUAUGUGGUAGUAAAGUGUAAUAGACACCAAAUAUAAUGUAAAACAACAAAUGAAUUAUCAUAUAAUUAAGCCAAAAGAAAAACGAAAAAUCUAAAAAAUGUGUGUGUAUACCAGGCCAAUUAUAAGAGUACUACGCUAAAUAAAAAAGACAGUAGUAAAUAGUACUACCAAUUUUGAGACCUCAGUCACCAACAGACUACCAUCUUCUUCUUCUUCAAUUCUUCUUUUAAUCUCUUUUCAAACUUUAACUUGUAUUCAUUUAUCUCAAAAUCUGAUACCUUUUAUUGAAUACAAAAUGUUAGAGGUACAGUCUUUAAUCUAAAACAGAAAGUACGUACUUACAUGGUUUGAUUAUAUUGUACUACUGGUACGUCUAGCUAUAUCACCUCCUCAUGAGAAGCACAGUCAUCCGUUUUCG